GUGUCAGCCGCCGCGGUAAUACAGAGGGUGCGAGCGUUGUCCGGAAUUACUGGGCGUAAAGGGCGCGUAGGCGGUUCGGUAAGUAGGAGGUGAAAUUUCGGGGCUCAACCCCGAAACUGCCUUCUAAACUGCCGAACUGGAGCACGGUAGAGGCAGAUGGAAUUCCCGGUGUAGCGGUGGAAUGCGUAGAGAUCGGGAAGAACACCAGUGGCGAAGGCGGUCUGCUGGGCCGUUGCUGACGCUGAUGCGCGACAGCGUGGGGAGCAAACAGGAUUAGAAACCCUCGUAGUCC
This 292-nucleotide ribosomal RNA is filed under the name uncultured bacterium. RNAcentral's name for it is "partial 16S ribosomal RNA". It matches the Rfam family "Bacterial small subunit ribosomal RNA", at positions 505 to 796 of the family's 1533-position model. The record is from RNAcentral.